RNAcentral lists this ribosomal RNA (253 nucleotides) under uncultured bacterium. Its description in RNAcentral is "partial 16S ribosomal RNA". It matches the Rfam family "Bacterial small subunit ribosomal RNA", at positions 524 to 776 of the family's 1533-position model. The record is from RNAcentral.
UACGGAGGGUGCGAGCGUUGCUCGGAAUUAUUGGGCGUAAAGCGUACGCAGGCGGCUCGGUAAGUCGAGUGUGAAAUCCCGAGGCUCAACCCGGGAACUGCGUCCGAUACUGGCAGGCUUGAAUUCGGGAGAGGGAUGUGGAAUUCCAGGUGUAGCGGUGAAAUGCGUAGAUAUCUGGAGGAACACCGGUGGCGAAGGCGGCAUCCUGGACCGGCAUUGACGCUGAGGCGCGAAAGCCAGGGGAGCAAACGGG